AAAUUGAAGAGUUUGAUCAUGGCUCAGAUUGAACGCUGGCGGCAGGCCUAACACAUGCAAGUCGAACGGUAACAGGAAUCAGCUUGCUGAUUCGCUGACGAGUGGCGGACGGGUGAGUAAUGUCUGGGAAACUGCCUGAUGGAGGGGGGAUAACUACUGGAAACGGUAGCUAAUACCGCAUAACGUCGCAAGACCAAAGAGGGGGACCUUCGGGCCUCUUGCCAUCGGAUGUGCCCAGAUGGGAUUAGCUAGUAGGUGGGGUAAUGGCUCACCUAGGCGACGAUCCCUAGCUGGUCUGAGAGGAUGACCAGCCACACUGGAACUGAGACACGGUCCAGACUCCUACGGGAGGCAGCAGUGGGGAAUAUUGCACAAUGGGCGCAAGCCUGAUGCAGCCAUGCCGCGUGUAUGAAGAAGGCCUUCGGGUUGUAAAGUACUUUCAGCGGGGAGGAAGGGA
This 457-nucleotide ribosomal RNA is filed under the name Escherichia coli. Its description in RNAcentral is "bacterial SSU rRNA". It matches the Rfam family "Bacterial small subunit ribosomal RNA", at positions 1 to 453 of the family's 1533-position model. Lineage: Bacteria; Pseudomonadati; Pseudomonadota; Gammaproteobacteria; Enterobacterales; Enterobacteriaceae. The record is from RNAcentral.